Long non-coding RNA from Pyrus x bretschneideri (Chinese white pear), 2007 nucleotides. RefSeq lists it as uncharacterized. Lineage: Eukaryota; Viridiplantae; Streptophyta; Magnoliopsida; Rosales; Rosaceae. The record is from RefSeq and is a predicted model, not a curated record. The transcript has 2 exons.
AUGAUCGGUGGAUGUAGAGCCUGAAUCGGAAAUCGUGUUGGGAUCCGAGUCCGAUAGGGAAGGAUCAUGGGAGGGAGGUACGUCAGGUUAGGAGGUGUUGGUGAGGGAAGGGCAGGUGCGAGUCGAAGAGGGAGUGAGGAGUCGUGGUCGUCAACAAUAUUUUAUCGCCGUUGUGGAAACCUUCAAAUUCGGAAAAAUGGUUUGUCUUCUUCCCAUUUUCUGGAAAUAUGGUUUAUGGGUUUUCAAUGUUAUUGCAUGUUCCAUUCAAAUUAUGAUUUGGGUGUCUCGGAUUUUAAAUUUUAAAUCUUGGCAUGGCUUCUGACUCCAUAUUGUUAGUUGCUUGUGGGUUAUGUCCCAGACUCCAAAUUUUACGAAGUUGAAGCGAUUCUGAGGUGCAGAAACGAUUCACUCAUCUGUUUGGUUCUUAAUUUUGUUUACGUUGAUUGUUUAUAGCUCUGUUGCAUGUCUGCUGUGCUUUUUUCUUCUAUUACUGUUGUGUGUGGAAUAUAUGAGGUUAUGGGUUUUACUUUCAUCUAAUUAUUUCUUAAUCUUUGCUAUGAUUAUGGGACGAGCUAGGCCCUGGCGAGUUUUGCAUGUUUCUUUGGUAAGAACGGUUGAACCUUAAACACAGCAUACUGCAUAUUAAUUAGCAUUGCAUUUUGCAUUGGCAUAAUAAAAUUAGGAAAGCAACAAAUUGAUGUUUCAAAUUUUGUUGAUUGGAUAGUAGGAAGAAUAGCUCUCUGUUUCUAAGCAUGUGUAGUUAUCUAAGCACCAUCCCAUCUUCUUCUGCAGUUGCCUUUAAUCCUUUUUAAACACUCAAAUCUAUUUGCAUAUAUCGAACACAUAGUCACGACUGAUUUGGAUUGGAGUUCAAACACGAUAAACAUUGAAGGUUAAUGAAAUUCUAAUCUAGAGUGCCAUUGAUGUCACUGGACCUAAAUUUUGAUUGCGGUGUGGCCUGUUGCGACAUGUCAAAAGAACAAUUAGUAGUUGUUAGUCGUACCACUAUACAAUUCAUUUCUGGAAUUUAAUGAAAAUUGUUUGUGAUUAUUGCUUGGAAUUAUAGAUAAGAUUUUGAAAAGUUAAUUCCUUUUAUUGCUUCUUCUUGUUCGUCAUUGCGGUUGCUCAUAAAGGAUAUAAGGUGAUGGGUACAAUGUUAGUAAUAAAGGGUUAGUUUGUUGACAGACUGCUUGAACUAUUGAAUAAUGUUGCAACUCUCCCCCAUAUUCCUGAUGUUCUUUCCUCUUGUUUUUUCAUCAUGCCAUACUUCGUUUUUGGGUUCAUCUGUAAGUUUUUGCUGAAUCUUUGAACCAGUUUUGGCAGUUGGUUGUUGAUCCUGCCACCAAAGAACUAUUGCAUUAUACUGAGAAUCCAGUGACUUUUGUAUGUACACGAUGCAAUUACUGUCCCAAAAUUGUUCAUUUAGUUGGUGCUUCAUGAUCAAUUGCGGUCUAUAUGUAUUUGUUCCCACAUAUUUUACUGCCAUUCAAGAAGUCUCCAGUCAUCAAGAAGGCAGAGGUUGGUCUUUUUCUUCACUGGCAUUAUAGUUGUGGAUUGGUUUGCACUUGGGAUCAAAUUCUGGCUCUAAAAAUAUUAUAUCACUUGAUUUGUAAUUAUUGAGAACAUAUUUGAUCUCAUGGCCAAAUGAAUUUUGUAGAUUAUGGAUGCAAUUAUUUCUCAUGGUUGCUUCUUGCAAGAAUGUAGCGUUCAACACUCCAUUGUGGGUGCGCACUCACGUCUAGAGUCUGGGGUCGAACUUAAGGAAGGUGAUUGCAUAAUCCAUUGAGCUGGGAAGAAGGGUAAAAUCAGUUGCGGGUGGCAAUUAUGUAGGAAUGCAUGGAUACAUUGAUAGGAAAAUCUCAUUAUUUUGUUGGUCUUUUAUCUUUAACACUUGUAAACAUGUUCUUUAUGAGGAAUAUUUCUGUAGUUUCAUUAUAGACAUUCCAUUUCUACUAUUGGAUUGCUUGCCAUCUUUGAUUUUAUGAAAAUUUUAAAUUUUUGGUUUUA